CUUCAAGCCCGGUUUCACCACCGGGAGCGCCCCAUUCCACCAUCGGAUCCACUGGUGCCCCCUCCAUUGCCUCGGUCCCGCUGUACCUCUCAAUUCUUUUACAACUAUACACACUAUAAUACAAUACACCUAUAUAUAGAUAUCAGUCUUUACAAGCCAUCAAUGGCAUACAGAAGUGAGAUUCUGCGAGUAAAUUUCAUAGAUGUGAGGAGUGAGGUGGGGUGCGGUGGGAGAGGGGAGAGUAAUUCAGCAGAGGUAACUACAAACAAACCCCAGUAUUUGUGUAUAUUUUCUAACGAAAAUGAUUACAAUUUACCCUUUUUAAAACAGAAAGUCUCAACCAACUAUAAGAAAAACGUAUAGCGACUUUUAAUAGAGGAAAUAAACGUGUUUUCCUUCCAUUGUUUUGUCUGUAUGUACACGGUACAACCCCAUCUUACUGUGUGCUGCGCUCUGUUUACAAAAUUAAUUUCAUGCAAAUGCAUACCUGGCAGACUGGUUGACCAACACGUUCUGGGUAAUCACCACCACUAGCCAUCAAUGCUCUCAUCACCUGUAUUGAAACACAAUUGAAUUCUAUCAAUCCAUCUUACUGCAUCAAAACCAUCGCAAUGCCAUUUUUUUAUUUUUUAUUUUUCAAUUUAGUAUAUCUUUUCUUGCGAAAACCAUUAUGAACUCAAAUAAAACUCAAAAAGAUUAAUUUUUAUAUAUAUUAAAAUCAAAUCUACACAAAACCCCCACUAAAAAAUGGAAUAAAUUCACAGUAAUUAGCACAAUCCAACACUACACGAUCACACGAAUCCUGCCACAAAAAGUCAAAGUUGAGCCCUAAAGAUCAAAUUUUGACACACGAAAUUUGAGAAAUUUUACCACACUCCUGUCACGGGGAUGAUUGAAACGACAGCGAGCACCGUACCCACAGAAUCCAGUCUUCAAGUAAUAACCACAAUCCGGCUCACCCGGCCUCUCCGGGUACGACUCGGGCUCAACCCCAAGACCCAGCUGCCACAUAGGCUCUGCAUUUACAAAAUCAAACCUCAAAUCAAUUAAAUUUCACUCUGCAUUACAAAAUCCAAUUCUAGUCAGGCGAAAUUCAACCUACACUGACCUUCAAGCCCGGUUUCACCACCGGGAGCGCCCCAUUCCACCAUCGGAUCCACUGGUGCCCCCUCCAUUGCCUCGGUCCCGCUGUACCUCUCAAUUCUUUUACAACUAUACACACUAUAAUACAAUACACCUAUAUAUAGAUAUCAGUCUUUACAAGCCAUCAAUGGCAUACAGAAGUGAGAUUCUGCGAGUAAAUUUCAUAGAUGUGAGGAGUGAGGUGGGGUGCGGUGGGAGAGGGGAGAGUAAUUCAGCAGAGGUAACUACAAACAAACCCCAGUAUUUGUGUAUAUUUU
Molecule: long non-coding RNA, 1400 nt
Filed under: Olea europaea (common olive)
Lineage: Eukaryota; Viridiplantae; Streptophyta; Magnoliopsida; Lamiales; Oleaceae
Description: long non-coding RNA (OEUR_LNC000869)
Source: RNAcentral